CCUACGGGUGGCAGCAGUGAGGAAUAUUGGUCAAUGGGCGUAAGCCUGAACCAGCCAAGUCGCGUGAGGGAUGAAGGUUCUAUGGAUCGUAAACCUCUUUUAUAAGGGAAUAAAGUGCGGGACGUGUCCCGUUUUGUAUGUACCUUAUGAAUAAGGAUCGGCUAACUCCGUGCCAGCAGCCGCGGUAAUACGGAGGAUCCGCGCGUUAUCCGGUUUUAUUGGGGUUAAAGGGUGCGCAGGCGGCGUGUCAAGUCAGCGGGAAAAGGUCGGGGCUCAACCCCGGCCGGCCGUUGAAACUGGGGUGCUCGAGUUGGAGAGAGGUAUGCGGAAUUCGUGGUGUAGCGGUGAAAUGCAUAGAUAUCACGAAGAACCCCGAUUGCGAAGGCAGCAUACCGGCUCCACACUGACGCUGAGGCACGAAAGCGUGGGUAUCGAACAGGAUUAGAUACCCGUGUAGUC
This 459-nucleotide ribosomal RNA is filed under the name uncultured bacterium. RNAcentral's name for it is "partial 16S ribosomal RNA". It matches the Rfam family "Bacterial small subunit ribosomal RNA", at positions 338 to 795 of the family's 1533-position model. The record is from RNAcentral.